This 111-nucleotide ribosomal RNA is filed under the name Chinchilla lanigera (long-tailed chinchilla). Lineage: Eukaryota; Metazoa; Chordata; Mammalia; Rodentia; Chinchillidae. The record is from RNAcentral.
GUCUAUGGCCAUACCACCCUGAUCGCGCCCGAUCUCGUCUGAUCUUGGAAGCUAAGCAGGGUCGAGUCUGGUUAGUACUUGGAUGGAAGAAGGUUCAAAGGGCUACAGAGG